UACGUAGGAGGCAAGCGUUGUCCGGAUUUACUGGGCGUAAAGAGCGUGUAGGCGGCAUGGCAAGUCUACUGUGAAAGCUCUCGGCUUAACCGGGAGAGGUCGGUGGAAACUGCCAGGCUUGAGGACGGUAGAGGGGGGUGGAAUUCCCGGUGUAGUGGUGAAAUGCGUAGAGAUCGGGAGGAACACCAGUGGCGAAGGCGGCCCCCUGGGCCGCUCCUGACGCUGAGACGCGAAGGCCAGGGUAGCGAACGGG
RNAcentral lists this ribosomal RNA (253 nucleotides) under uncultured bacterium. Its description in RNAcentral is "partial 16S ribosomal RNA". It matches the Rfam family "Bacterial small subunit ribosomal RNA", at positions 524 to 776 of the family's 1533-position model. The record is from RNAcentral.